Molecule: ribosomal RNA, 727 nt
Filed under: Bacillus sp. (in: firmicutes)
Lineage: Bacteria; Bacillati; Bacillota; Bacilli; Caryophanales; Bacillaceae
Description: bacterial SSU rRNA
Rfam family: Bacterial small subunit ribosomal RNA
Source: RNAcentral
AACACGUGGGCAACCUGCCUGUAAGACUGGGAUAACUUCGGGAAACCGAAGCUAAUACCGGAUAGGAUCUUCUCCUUCAUGGGAGAUGAUUGAAAGAUGGUUUCGGCUAUCACUUACAGAUGGGCCCGCGGUGCAUUAGCUAGUUGGUGAGGUAACGGCUCACCAAGGCAACGAUGCAUAGCCGACCUGAGAGGGUGAUCGGCCACACUGGGACUGAGACACGGCCCAGACUCCUACGGGAGGCAGCAGUAGGGAAUCUUCCGCAAUGGACGAAAGUCUGACGGAGCAACGCCGCGUGAGUGAUGAAGGCUUUCGGGUCGUAAAACUCUGUUGUUAGGGAAGAACAAGUACGAGAGUAACUGCUCGUACCUUGACGGUACCUAACCAGAAAGCCACGGCUAACUACGUGCCAGCAGCCGCGGUAAUACGUAGGUGGCAAGCGUUAUCCGGAAUUAUUGGGCGUAAAGCGCGCGCAGGCGGUUUCUUAAGUCUGAUGUGAAAGCCCACGGCUCAACCGUGGAGGGUCAUUGGAAACUGGGGAACUUGAGUGCAGAAGAGAAAAGCGGAAUUCCACGUGUAGCGGUGAAAUGCGUAGAGAUGUGGAGGAACACCAGUGGCGAAGGCGGCUUUUUGGUCUGUAACUGACGCUGAGGCGCGAAAGCGUGGGGAGCAAACAGGAUUAGAUACCCUGAUAGUCCACGCCGUAAACGAUGAGUGCUAAGUGUUA